This 325-nucleotide ribosomal RNA is filed under the name uncultured Bacillus sp. RNAcentral describes it as "bacterial SSU rRNA". It matches the Rfam family "Bacterial small subunit ribosomal RNA", at positions 1058 to 1382 of the family's 1533-position model. The record is from RNAcentral. Lineage: Bacteria; Bacillati; Bacillota; Bacilli; Caryophanales; Bacillaceae.
GCUCGUGUCGUGAGGAUGUUGGGUUAAGUCCCGCAACGAGCGCAACCCUACGUUUAGUUGCUAACGCGUGAAGGCGAGCACUCUAGACGAACUGCCGUUGACAAAACGGAGGAAGGUGGGGAUGACGUCAAAUCAUCAUGCCCCUUAUGUUCUGGGCUACACACGUGCUACAAUGGCCGGUACAGACGGACGCAAAGCCGCGAGGUGGAGCAAAUCCCAGAAAGCCGGUCUCAGUUCGGAUUGCAGGCUGCAAUUCGCCUGCAUGAAGUCGGAAUCGCUAGUAAUCGCAGGUCAGCAUACUGCGGUGAAUACGUUCCCGGGCCUU